This is a long non-coding RNA of Ipomoea nil (Japanese morning glory), 185 nucleotides long. RefSeq lists it as uncharacterized. The transcript is spliced from 2 exons. NCBI's taxonomy places the organism in Eukaryota, Viridiplantae, Streptophyta, Magnoliopsida, Solanales, Convolvulaceae. The record is from RefSeq and is a predicted model, not a curated record.
CAACCUGAAAGGUAUAACUUUUCCAAAUUCGGCAUCAUAUCAAAAUUUGGAGUCUCUAGCAAAGAACAGGAAAAGCUAAGAUCCAAAUAGGUAAGUUUAUUUAAUUCCUGCAUGCAUGCGUGCAAGAGUAGAAGAAGAUGGAGAUCAAAUAAAAUAAUUAGUUUAAGCUAUUUAAUUAAUUAAUA